This 460-nucleotide ribosomal RNA is filed under the name uncultured bacterium. Its description in RNAcentral is "partial 16S ribosomal RNA". It matches the Rfam family "Bacterial small subunit ribosomal RNA", at positions 338 to 795 of the family's 1533-position model. The record is from RNAcentral.
CCUACGGGCGGCAGCAGUGAGGAAUAUUGGUCAAUGGACGCAAGCCUGAACCAGCCAUGCCGCGUGCAGGAAGACGGCCCUAUGAGUUGUAAACUUCUUUUGUACGAGGGUAAAUCCCGAUACGUGUAUCGGGUUGAAAGUAUCGUACGAAUAAGGAUCGGCUAACUCCGUACCAGCAGCCGCGGUAAUACGGAGGAUUCAAGCGUUAUCCGGAUUUAUUGGGGUUAAAGGGUGCGUAGGCGGUUCGAUAAGUUAGAGGUGAAAUCACGGGGCUCAACCCCGGCACGGCCGUUGAUACUGUCGGCCUUGAGUUUAGUUGCGGUAGGCGGAAUGUAUGGUGUAGCGGUGAAAUGCAUAGAGAUCACACAGAACCCCGAUUGCGAAGGCAGCUUACCAGACUACGACUGACGCUGAGGCACGAAAGCGUGGGGAGCAAACAGGAUUAGAUACCCCUGUAGUC